AUGAACCAAAGGAGGCCUUACAGUUCUCGCGAUGAGGGGAAGAAGUUUUUGCUGUUGGUUUCAUUUGUAUCCCAAGUGCUUGACUUGGUUCUCGCGCAAUCCAAAUCUCUGGCUAACAUCGUAUCUAGAUUGUCCGAUCUCGUUUUCCGUGCAGGAUCAACCCGGAAUACGCUCCAGUCCCCAAUGGCAUCGACAACGGCAGUGGCAGCGCCGCCAUCAGGAAGCAAGCAGAACCCGCACCGUCACCCACACCAAGCAUGGACGACCGCGAUGACGCCCCGGACGUGGACACCGACAGCUCGAGCCUCGCGUCCUACCUCGCCCGCGCCUCGCUCGAGCAGCGCCGGCCAGGAGGGCGUCCGGCGUCCUCAUCCGCUGCUAUCGUGA
Molecule: ribosomal RNA, 387 nt
Filed under: Triticum aestivum (bread wheat)
Lineage: Eukaryota; Viridiplantae; Streptophyta; Magnoliopsida; Poales; Poaceae
Description: partial small subunit ribosomal RNA
Source: RNAcentral